This 223-nucleotide non-coding RNA is filed under the name Bacillota bacterium. Its description in RNAcentral is "Firmicutes bacterium T-box sequence". It matches the Rfam family "T-box leader". Rfam says of the family: Uncharged tRNA acts as the effector for transcription antitermination of genes in the T-box leader family. Lineage: Bacteria; Bacillati; Bacillota. The record is from RNAcentral.
UGAAUGACUGUGAAGAUGAAAAGUACGCAGUGAACCAUCUCCAGAGAGAGGGCUUUCGGGAAAACCUGAGCUGAAAGAGCCCUUAGCCUGUGAAGCUGCGGAAGUUCCCAUCGGAGUCGGCUUUCUGAACAGAGCAGUAGGAAAGCCCGUUUCAUGCUCGUUACGCAUCAGAGUGCCUGUGAUAGCAGGAAUUUGGGUGGUACCGCGAGCCUUCGUCCCUUUG